UGCCAGAACACAUAAAGGCAGCCCAGG
RNAcentral lists this non-coding RNA (27 nucleotides) under Mus musculus (house mouse). Lineage: Eukaryota; Metazoa; Chordata; Mammalia; Rodentia; Muridae. The record is from RNAcentral.